GGUCUAUGAUGAAUAAUAUGGAAACCUUUCUCUCUGAAAUCUUUGUGAGGACAAAUCCUACUGCCUUCCUUCUGAGGUC
RNAcentral lists this small nucleolar RNA (79 nucleotides) under Leersia perrieri. RNAcentral's name for it is "snoRNA snoU83". It matches the Rfam family "Small nucleolar RNA U83". Lineage: Eukaryota; Viridiplantae; Streptophyta; Magnoliopsida; Poales; Poaceae. The record is from Rfam by way of RNAcentral.